UGCAUUGGCGCAGCUACACAUGCAAGUCGAGCGGUACGGACAGGAGAGCUUGCUUCUCUGGGGGACGAGGGGCGAGAGGGGUGAGUAAUGUGGGGGAAAUGGCCGGAUGGAGGGGGAUAACUCGGGGAAACGGGGGCUAAUACGGCAGGUUGUUUGAGACCAAAGUGGGGGACCUUCGGGCGUCUUGCCAUCCCAUGUGCCCAGAUGGGAUUAGCUAGUAAGUGGGGUAACGGCUCACCUAGGCGACGAUGCCUAGCUGGUCUGACAGGAUGACCGGGUGACUGGAACUGAGACACGGUCCCAACUCCUACGGGAGGACGGGAGGGGGAAUAUUGCAAUCUGGGCGCAAGCCUGAUGCUCCCAUGCCGCGUGUGCGAAGAAGGCCUUCGGGUUGUAAAGCACUUUCGCCGGGGAGGAAGGCGGUAAGGUUAAUAACCUUGGCGAUUGGCGUUCCCCGCAGAAGAAGCCCCGGCUAACUCCGUGCCCUCCGCCGCGGUAAUACGGAUGGUGCAAGCGUUAAUCGGAAUUACUGGGCGUAAAGCGCACGCAGGCGGUCUGUCAAGUUUCGGAUGUGAAAUCCCCGGGCUCAACCUGGGAACUGCAUUCGAAACUGGCAGGCUAGAGUCUUGUAGAGGGGGGUAGAAUUCCUGGUGUUGCGGUGAAAUGCGUAGAGAUCUGGAGGAAUACCGAGUGGCGAAGGCGGCCCCCUGGACUCUGACUGACUGCUCAUGUGCGCUAAGCGUGGGGAGCAUACAGGAUUAGAUACCCUGAGUAUGUCCACGCCGUACACGAUGUCGAUUUGGAGGUUGUGCCCGUUGAGGCGUGUCUUCCGGAUCUAACGCGUUAAAUCGACCGCCUGGGUAGUACGGCCGCAUAGGUUAAAACUCGAAUGAAUCUGACGGGGGCUCGCACAAGCGGUGGAGCAUGUGUGUUUAAUUCUGAUGCAACGUCGAAGAACCUUCACCAUGGUCUUGACAUCCACUUGAACUUUCUCAUGAGCAUUGGACUUGGUGCUCUUCAGGUCACUGUGAGACAGGUGACUGCAUGGCUGUCGUCAGCUCGUCGUUGUCUACAUGUUCGGUGUUAUGUUCCGGCUAACGAUGCGCAACCCUUAUCCUUUCGGUUGCCUGCUGGUUAGGCCGGGUAACUUCUAAGGGCAGACUUGCCAGUGACUAACCUGGAGGACAGGUGGGGAUGACGUGCAAGUUCACUCCUGGCUCUUACGACCCAUGUCUACACUGCGUGCUACAGUGGCAUAUGCAGAGAGAAUCGAACUCUCGACGUAGAGCUACGCUGUACCUCAUAAAGUAUGUCGUAGUCCGGAUUGGAGUCUGCAACUCGACUCCAUGAAGUCGGAAUCGCUAGUAAUCGUAGAUCAGAAUGCUACGGUGAAUACGUUCCCGGGCCUUGUACACACCGCCCGUCACACCAUGGGAGUGGGUUGCAAAAGAAGUAGGUAGCUUAACCUUCGGGAGGGCGCUACCACUUGGAUCAUCGAUUUUGAA
RNAcentral lists this ribosomal RNA (1505 nucleotides) under Klebsiella pneumoniae. RNAcentral's name for it is "partial 16S ribosomal RNA". It matches the Rfam family "Bacterial small subunit ribosomal RNA". Lineage: Bacteria; Pseudomonadati; Pseudomonadota; Gammaproteobacteria; Enterobacterales; Enterobacteriaceae. The record is from RNAcentral.